AUUACAAUUUCAGAGGGGCUUGUUCAUGUGUUUCUCUAAGGAGAGGAAGACAACCCUGACAUGAGGAAUAGGCUGCAGGGGAACCGUCUGGCAUCAUGGAUGUGACUGAGCAUUAAUGGGCCACCUCUUGGAGAAUUUCUUUAUGACCGAGCUUUAAGGGCCUCUUCACAC
This is a long non-coding RNA of Thalassophryne amazonica, 171 nucleotides long. RefSeq lists it as uncharacterized. The transcript has 3 exons. NCBI's taxonomy places the organism in Eukaryota, Metazoa, Chordata, Actinopteri, Batrachoidiformes, Batrachoididae. The record is from RefSeq and is a predicted model, not a curated record.